This 287-nucleotide unclassified non-coding RNA is filed under the name Chaetomiaceae sp. Its description in RNAcentral is "partial contains 5.8S ribosomal RNA, internal transcribed spacer 2, and large subunit ribosomal RNA". The stretch from base 1 to 71 matches the Rfam family "5.8S ribosomal RNA", at positions 84 to 154 of the family's 154-position model. The record is from RNAcentral. Lineage: Eukaryota; Fungi; Ascomycota; Sordariomycetes; Sordariales; Chaetomiaceae.
GUGAGUCAUCGAAUCUUUGAACGCACAUUGCGCCCGCCAGUAUUCUGGCGGGCAUGCCUGUUCGAGCGUCAUUUCAACCAUCAAGCCCCCGGGCUUGUGUUGGGGACCUGCGGCUGCCGCAGGCCCUGAAAACCAGUGGCGGGCUCGCUAGUCACUCCGAGCGUAGUAGUUACAUCUCGCUCAGGGCGUGCUGCGGGUUCCGGCCGUUAAAAGCCUUAUUUACCCAAGGUUGACCUCGGAUCAGGUAGGAAGACCCGCUGAACUUAAGCAUAUCAAUAAGCGGAGGA